RNAcentral lists this ribosomal RNA (605 nucleotides) under uncultured Pseudomonadota bacterium. RNAcentral describes it as "bacterial SSU rRNA". It matches the Rfam family "Bacterial small subunit ribosomal RNA", at positions 124 to 725 of the family's 1533-position model. The record is from RNAcentral. Lineage: Bacteria; Pseudomonadati; Pseudomonadota.
AUUUGCCCUUAAGUGGGGGAUAACCCGGGGAAACCCGGAUUAAUACCGCAUGAUCUUUUCGAAGCAAAGCCGGGGACCGCAAGGCCUGGCGCUUUUGGAGAAGCCUACGUCGGAUUAGCUAGUUGGUGAGGUAAUGGCUCACCAAGGCUGCGAUCCGUAACUGGUCUGAGAGGAUGAUCAGUCACAUCGGAACUGAGACACGGUCCGAACUCCUACGGGAGGCAGCAGUGGGGAAUAUUGGACAAUGGGCGAAAGCCUGAUCCAGCAAUACCGCGUGUGUGAAGAAGGCCUUCGGGUUGUAAAGCACUUUAGGUCGGAAAGAAAAAACUUGAGUUAAUACCUUAAGUCUUGACGGUACCGACAGAAUAAGCACCGGCUAACUCUGUGCCAGCAGCCGCGGUAAUACAGAGGGUGCAAGCGUUAAUCGGAUUUACUGGGCGUAAAGCGUGCGUAGGUGGCUGUUUAAGUCGGAUGUGAAAGCCCUGGGCUUAACCUGGGAACUGCAUUCGAUACUGGAUAGCUAGAGAUCGGUAGAGGGCAGCGGAAUUCCGGGUGUAGCGGUGAAAUGCGUAGAUAUCCGGAGGAACACCGAUGGCGAAGGCAAC